Molecule: long non-coding RNA, 1057 nt
Filed under: Panax ginseng (ginseng)
Lineage: Eukaryota; Viridiplantae; Streptophyta; Magnoliopsida; Apiales; Araliaceae
Description: long non-coding RNA (PGIN_LNC004435)
Source: RNAcentral
GCUAACGUGCCCGAGCACUACCAUUAUGGGGUGUUUGUAAGGGGCAAAACAGUUGAAAUUGGCGAGGAGGACAUAAACGGAUGUUAUCAACUGCCAUUAGAGGGCCUGGAUGAUGGGUAUGCUAGACUCGUGAGUGAUGGACCGGACUAUGAAAAUAUAAUUCAUGAGCUGUAUCAACCGGGCACCACAUAGACAGUACAUGAACGCGGAAGCAUGACCUUUCCACUCUCUAACCUCAGCUUAUAUGGGAAGGCGUGGUAUGCGUUUAUCUGCGCAAAACUCAUGCCAUGCACCCAUGUGAGUUAUGUCACCAGGGAACGAGCAGUGCUUUUAUACUCCAUAAUCAAAGGAUUCAAAAUUGAUGUAGGCCAUCUUAUUCAGUAGUCUAUCCUUCGAGCAUCCCGAGGAGGGACCACAGGGGGGUUACCACAUCCGUCUCUCAUCUGCGUGUUGUGUGCUAAGUUUGGAGUAAAAUGGAAAUCAGAUGAGAUGAUUCAAAUGCCUAUGCCCGUGUUGGACCACAAGUUGAUAAGCAGGUAUAAAGUAUGAACUGGUGGAGCAAACCACCCUAGGGGAUUGGGUUUCAUAAUUCCCCAAACUGAAACUUUUCAAGCUCCACCACCUCAGGCUCCACCUACUUAUGGUCCUUCAUCCGCAGCUUAUCGUGGUGUGGUUCCCGAAGCAGUCCAACGAGAAGUUAACUUAUGGUUUUACAAUCUGGAAGCCCAAAAUGUCUGCCUCUCGAAACGUCAAGAUGUGAUUUACAAGUAUUUGGUUGAUCAGUUUACAGCCUAGAAUGCUAUGAACGCCCAACUAUUUCUGGGUAUUAGUCUCAGUCAGUUCCCUUCUGCCCCAGUUUUACCAGUCUUUUCCCCUUCCGAUUUAUAGAUGAGCGAGGAUGAUGAUGCUCCACCCGAGGCAUAAGCUCGUCAGGGAAGUCCUUUGUUUUAUAUUAUUUUAUCUUUCGCAUGAGGACAUUGCUCUAGAUAAGUUUGGGGGUAGUUUAUUUAGUUUAUUUUUAUUUGCAUGAGUAGAUUGUGAUUGUUAAUAGUUUGUG